GCGCCCUUAGCUCAUUGGUAGAGCGCGUCGUUGACAUCGACGAGGCAAUAGGUUCGAUCCCUAUAGGGCGCA
RNAcentral lists this transfer RNA (72 nucleotides) under Candidatus Jorgensenbacteria bacterium GWC1_48_12. Its description in RNAcentral is "tRNA-Val". It matches the Rfam family "tRNA". Rfam says of the family: Transfer RNA (tRNA) molecules are approximately 80 nucleotides in length. Their secondary structure includes four short double-helical elements and three loops (D, anti-codon, and T loops). Lineage: Bacteria; Candidatus Joergenseniibacteriota. The record is from RNAcentral.